CAAAAUGUAGCUUACUCAAAGCACCUCGCUUACACCGAAAAGAUAUCUGCGAAACUCAGAUCAUUUUGA
Molecule: transfer RNA, 69 nt
Filed under: Otophryne robusta (pancake frog)
Lineage: Eukaryota; Metazoa; Chordata; Amphibia; Anura; Microhylidae
Description: tRNA-Val
Source: RNAcentral